AGACCAUGUGGACACCUCCUAGUGGUGGGGUUGUUAGGAAUGUUUAUCAGACCAUGUGGACACCUCCUAGUGGUCUGGUUGUUAGGAGUGUUUAUCAGACCAUGUGGACACCUCCUAGUGGUCUGGUUGUUAGGAGUGUUUAUCAGACCAUGUGGACACCUCCUAGUGGUGGGGUUGUUAGGAGUGUUUAUCAGACCAUGUGGACACCUCCUAGUGGUGGGGUUGUUAGGAGUGUUUAUCAGACCAUGUGGACACCUCCUAGUGGUGGGGUUGUUAGGAGUGUUUAUCAGACCAUGUGGACACCUCCUAGUGGUCUGGUUGUUAGGAGUGUUUAUCAGACCAUGUGGACACCUCCUAGUGGUCUGGUUGUUAGGAGUGUUUAUCAGACCAUGUGGACACCUCCUAUUGGUGGGGUUGUUAAUAGAACUACCCAUCCCGGAUCCGGGAGAAUUGUCAUCAACUUACACUAAUUAGCAUAACGCAAUGGACAAAAAAUCUUUGAAAAUAUUCAUAUUCAUGAAAUCACAAGUGAAAUAUAUUGAAACACAGCUUAGCCUUUUGUUAAUCACCCUGUCAUCUCAGAUUUUGAAAUUAUGCUUUACAGCCAAAGCAAGACAAGCAUUUGUGUAAGUUUAUCGAUAGCCUAGCAUAAUGCAAAGCUCUGUAAAAUCAGAAAAGCAAUCAAAUUACCAGAAGGUAUUUAAAUGGUAAUAACCAGACUUUUUUCCAACAGAUAUUAUUGGCAAAUGUAUUCCAGUAAGUUGUGACAUAAGGAAUGGAUACAAUCUCCCUUUGAAAUAAAGCAGGUAGAUCUGUUGUUCUGAGGAAACAAGGAGAGAAACAGUUUCCCCAUUGGAGAGUCAACUGGAUUAAGUGAAGGUAGGUCAAGAAGGUGAGGUCUGGUUACACCUCUAAAUAACAUGAGUUCCAGAUGGAAUAGCAUCAGAGACUAUGGAGAACUCUCUAGGAGGGCAGGUCAACAAGGUGAGGUCUGGUUACACCUCUAAAUAACAUGAGAGUUCCAGAUGGAAUAGCAUCAGAGACUAUGGAGAACUCUCUAGGAGGGCAGGUCAACAAGGUGAGGUCUGGUUACACCUCUAAAUAACAUGAGUUCCAGAUGGAAUAGCAUCAGAGACUAUGGAGAACUCUCUAGGAGGGCAGGUCAACAAGGUGAGGUCUGGUUACACCUCUAAAUAACAUGAGUUCCAGAUGGAAUAGCAUCAGAGACUAUGGAGAACUCUCUAGGAGGGCAGGUCAACAAGGUGAGGUCUGGUUACACCUCUAAAUAACAUGAGAGUUCCAGAUGGAAUAGCAUCAGAGACUAUGGAGAACUCUCUAGGAGGGCAGGUCAACAAGGUGAGGUCUGGUUACACCUCUAAAUAACAUGAGUUCCAGAUGGAAUAGCAUCAGAGACUAUGGAGAACUCUCUAGGAGGGUAGGUCAACAAGGUGAGGUCUGGUUACACCUCUAAAUAACAUGAGUUCCAGAUGGAAUAGCAUCAGAGACUAUGGAGAACUCUCUAGGAGGGUAGGUCAACAAGGUGAGGUCUGGCUACACCUCUAAAUAACAUGAGAGUUCCAGAUGGAAUAGCAUCAGAGACUAUGGAGAACUCUCUAGGAGGGCAGGUCAACAAGGUGAGGUCUGACUACACCUCUAAAUAACAUGAGAGUUCCAGAUGGAAUAGCAUCAGAGACUAUGGAGAACUCUCUAGGAGGGCAGGUCAACAAGGUGAGGUCUGGUUACACCUCUAAA
Long non-coding RNA from Oncorhynchus keta (chum salmon), 1752 nucleotides. RefSeq lists it as uncharacterized. Lineage: Eukaryota; Metazoa; Chordata; Actinopteri; Salmoniformes; Salmonidae. The transcript is spliced from 4 exons. The record is from RefSeq and is a predicted model, not a curated record.